UACGUAGGGUGCGAGCGUUGUCCGGAAUUACUGGGCGUAAAGAGCUUGUAGGCGGUUUGUCGCGUCUGCUGUGAAAUUUCGGGGCUCAACCCCGAACUUGCAGUGGGUACGGGCAGACUAGAGUGUGGUAGGGGAGACUGGAAUUCCUGGUGUAGCGGUGAAAUGCGCAGAUAUCAGGAGGAACACCGAUGGCGAAGGCAGGUCUCUGGGCCAUAACUGACGCUGAGAAGCGAAAGCAUGGGGAGCGAACAGG
Molecule: ribosomal RNA, 253 nt
Filed under: uncultured bacterium
Lineage: Bacteria
Description: partial 16S ribosomal RNA
Rfam family: Bacterial small subunit ribosomal RNA
Source: RNAcentral